RNAcentral lists this ribosomal RNA (239 nucleotides) under Escherichia coli. RNAcentral's name for it is "partial 16S ribosomal RNA". It matches the Rfam family "Bacterial small subunit ribosomal RNA", at positions 1 to 236 of the family's 1533-position model. The record is from RNAcentral. Lineage: Bacteria; Pseudomonadati; Pseudomonadota; Gammaproteobacteria; Enterobacterales; Enterobacteriaceae.
AAAUUGAAGAGUUUGAUCAUGGCUCAGAUUGAACGCUGGCGGCAGGCCUAACACAUGCAAGUCGAACGGUAACAGGAAACAGCUUGCUGUUUCGCUGACGAGUGGCGGACGGGUGAGUAAUGUCUGGGAAACUGCCUGAUGGAGGGGGAUAACUACUGGAAACGGUAGCUAAUACCGCAUAACGUCGCAAGACCAAAGAGGGGGACCUUCGGGCCUCUUGCCAUCGGAUGUGCCCAGAU